CGCCUUGUGCCUGAAAGGGCGACACCGAUGAGGUGGAGCGAGAAGUCAGCAGAGGUUGUAGUAGUCGGGGCGACCCGACGAAGAAC
Variovorax sp. HW608 is the source of this 86-nucleotide non-coding RNA. The record is from Rfam. Lineage: Bacteria; Pseudomonadati; Pseudomonadota; Betaproteobacteria; Burkholderiales; Comamonadaceae.